This 253-nucleotide ribosomal RNA is filed under the name uncultured bacterium. RNAcentral describes it as "partial 16S ribosomal RNA". It matches the Rfam family "Bacterial small subunit ribosomal RNA", at positions 524 to 776 of the family's 1533-position model. The record is from RNAcentral.
UACGUAGGGUGCAAGCGUUGUCCGGAAUUAUUGGGCGUAAAGAGCUCGUAGGCGGUUUGUCGCGUCUGCUGUGAAAAUCCAGGGCUUAACCCUGGACCUGCAGUGGGUACGGGCAGACUAGAGUGCGGUAGGGGAGAUCGGAAUUCCUGGUGUAGCGGUGAAAUGCGCAGAUAUCAGGAGGAACACCGGUGGCGAAGGCGGCACUCUGGGCCGGUACUGACGCUGAGGAGCGAAAGCGUGGGGAGCAAACAGG